GCCGCCGCGGUAAUACGUAGGGUGCAAGCGUUGUCCGGAAUUAUUGGGCGUAAAGAGCUCGUAGGCGGUUUGUUGCGUCGGCUGUGAAAACCUGAGGCUCAACCUCAGGCCUGCAGUCGAUACGAGCAGACUAGAGUGUUGCAGGGGAGACUGGAAUUCCUGGUGUAGCGGUGAAAUGCGCAGAUAUCAGGAGGAACACCGGUGGCGAAGGCGGGUCUCUGGGCAACAACUGACGCUGAGGAGCGAAAGCGUGGGGAGCGAACAGGAUUAGAUACCCUGGUAGUCAACGCCGUAAACGUUGGGCGCUAGGUGUGGGGCUCAUUCCACGAGUUCCGUGCCGCAGCUAACGCAUUAAGCGCCCCGCCUGGGGAGUACGGCCGCAAGGCUAAAACUCAAAGGAAUUGACGGGGGCCCGCACAAGCGGCGGAGCAUGUUGCUUAAUUCGAUGCAACGCGAAGAACCUUACCUAGGCUUGACAUGCACGGAAAUCCUCCAGAGAUGGGGGGUCCGCAAGGGUCGUGCCACAGGUGGUGCAUGGUUGUCGUCAGCUCGUGUCGUGA
RNAcentral lists this ribosomal RNA (560 nucleotides) under uncultured bacterium. RNAcentral's name for it is "bacterial SSU rRNA". It matches the Rfam family "Bacterial small subunit ribosomal RNA", at positions 511 to 1070 of the family's 1533-position model. The record is from RNAcentral.